GACGUAGGGCGCGAGCGUUGUCCGGAUUUAUUGGGCGUAAAGAGCUCGUAGGCGGUUUGUCGCGUCUGCUGUGAAAACUCGGGGCUUAACCCCGGGCCUGCAGUGGGUACGGGCAGACUAGAGUGCGGUAGGGGAGACUGGAAUUCCUGGUGUAGCGGUGAAAUGCGCAGAUAUCAGGAGGAACACCUAUUGCGAAGGCAGCUCGCUGGGACGUCACUGACGCUGAGACGCGAAAGCGUGGGGAGCAAACAGG
This 253-nucleotide ribosomal RNA is filed under the name uncultured bacterium. RNAcentral describes it as "partial 16S ribosomal RNA". It matches the Rfam family "Bacterial small subunit ribosomal RNA", at positions 524 to 776 of the family's 1533-position model. The record is from RNAcentral.